Molecule: long non-coding RNA, 215 nt
Filed under: Elaeis guineensis (African oil palm)
Lineage: Eukaryota; Viridiplantae; Streptophyta; Magnoliopsida; Arecales; Arecaceae
Description: long non-coding RNA (EGUI_LNC050532)
Source: RNAcentral
AUGGUGCUGCAGCUUUCUUUGCAAGUGCGUUGUCGAUUGUCCUUCGUAAGAACAAGUUCACCAAUGCUUGUACGCCUUCAUAACCUUCACUAAGACCUCUUUAGAAACUCUUCCUCAAAAGAUUACACCACACAAAAAUUAAAUCAAAUGUUCAAUACUAGAACAUACUGAUUUCAGGACAAGCAUCUCAUGCUUUCCUUUUUUUCAUUCUCCCU